RNAcentral lists this ribosomal RNA (254 nucleotides) under uncultured bacterium. Its description in RNAcentral is "partial 16S ribosomal RNA". It matches the Rfam family "Bacterial small subunit ribosomal RNA", at positions 524 to 776 of the family's 1533-position model. The record is from RNAcentral.
UACGGAGGGGGCGAGCGUUGUUCGGAAUCACUGGGUGUAAAGGGUGCGUAGGCGGUCCGUUAAGUCUGAUGUGAAAUCCCUGGGCUCAACUCAGGAAUGGCAUUGGAAACUGGCAGGCUAGAGUACGGGAGAGGGAAGCGGAAUUCCUGGUGUAGCGGUGAAAUGCGUAGAUAUCUGGAGGAACACCGGUGGCGAAGGCGGCAUCCUGGACCACGACUGACGCUGAGUGAGCGAAAGCCAGGGGAGCAAACGGG